UGACGCCUGUCACCGGAUAGGCGAUAAAACGUGCCUGAGUAUAUUCCGUAGGUCUUUGAAGGAAUAUACUCAGGCACGUUUUUUGU
Molecule: non-coding RNA, 86 nt
Filed under: unclassified sequences
Source: RNAcentral